RNAcentral lists this long non-coding RNA (240 nucleotides) under Lathyrus oleraceus (garden pea). Its description in RNAcentral is "Pisum sativum (pea) long non-coding RNA (PSAT_LNC036107)". Lineage: Eukaryota; Viridiplantae; Streptophyta; Magnoliopsida; Fabales; Fabaceae. The record is from RNAcentral.
CAGCAUAUUAGGUGACACUCUGUAAGCUACUAUUUCGAAUCACUCUGAAUUUUUUUUCAUAAAUUAAGAAAUAAUUCAAGAAACACUACUCACUUAAAGAAACUUUUAAGUGAAUUUGACUCUCAAAAGCGCAAACUCCUUGUUUUUAUAUUUUAUUUGAUUUAUUUUUAUAUUUUCGAAAAAGUCUGAAUUUUUUUUGUAGAGUCUUAUUUUGGUUUUAUUAGAUUUUUAGUGAUGUUU